AAUGAACGUUGGCGGCGUGGAUUAGGCAUGCAAGUCGAGCGAGAACCCGCAAGGGGGACAGCGGCGAACGGGGUAGGACAAUCUAGGUAACGUACCCUCGGGGCGAGGACAGCCACGGGAAACUGUGGGUAAUACUCGAUAAACUUCCCAAUCAUUAUCGGAGGGGAAGCAAUGGGUGUGAUUCCACCUGAGGAGCGGCUUAGACAGUAUCAGCUUGUUGGUGAGGUAACGGCUCACCAAGGCUACGACGCUUAGGGGGUGUGAGAGCAUGGCCCCCACCACUGGCACUGAGACACUGGCCAGACACCUACGGGUGGCUGCAGUCGAGAAUCUUCGGCAAUGGACGCAAGUCUGACCGAGCGACGCCGCGUGCGGGAUGAAGGUCUUCGGAUUGUAAACCGCUGUCAGAGGGGAUGAAGUGUACGGGGGUACUCCCCUGUACUUGACAGAGCCUCAGAGGAAGCACGGGCUAAGUUCGUGCCAGCAGCCGCGGUAAU
Molecule: ribosomal RNA, 497 nt
Filed under: uncultured bacterium
Lineage: Bacteria
Description: bacterial SSU rRNA
Rfam family: Bacterial small subunit ribosomal RNA
Source: RNAcentral